This 429-nucleotide ribosomal RNA is filed under the name bacterium. RNAcentral describes it as "partial 16S ribosomal RNA". It matches the Rfam family "Bacterial small subunit ribosomal RNA", at positions 355 to 776 of the family's 1533-position model. The record is from RNAcentral.
UAGGGAAUCUUCCACAAUGGACGCAAGUCUGAUGGAGCAACGCCGCGUGAGUGAAGAAGGUUUUCGGAUCGUAAAGCUCUGUUGUUGGUGAAGAAGGAUAGAGGCAGUAACUGGUCUUUAUUUGACGGUAAUCAACCAGAAAGUCACGGCUAACUACGUGCCAGCAGCCGCGGUAAUACGUAGGUGGCAAGCGUUGUCCGGAUUUAUUGGGAGUAAAGCGAGCGCAGGCGGAAUGAUAAGUCUGAUGUGAAAGCCCACGGCUCAACCGUGGAACUGCAUCGGAAACUGUCAUUCUUGAGUGCAGAAGAGGAGAGUGGAAUUCCAUGUGUAGCGGUGGAAUGCGUAGAUAUAUGGAAGAACACCAGUGGCGAAGGCGGCUCUCUGGUCUGCAAUUGACGCUGAGGCUCGAAAGCAUGGGUAGCGAACAGG